This 1048-nucleotide long non-coding RNA is filed under the name Marmota monax (woodchuck). The record is from RNAcentral. Lineage: Eukaryota; Metazoa; Chordata; Mammalia; Rodentia; Sciuridae.
GGGGAGGCGAAAGGGGUGGUGCGGAGCCAGAAAAGCCCGAGCCCACAGCCGCCAGCCCUGCGCAGGGAUGGGCAGCGCACUCUGAAAGUUCGUGACCGCAGCAGCCAACUGUUGGCCGGAGCCUGGGACGCAGACAGUGAUCCGCCCAACUUGAAAGCGGUGCCCAGCCCCAGUACCCUUUCUCGGCCUCAGGCGGCCCUCCUCCAGGCAAGGUGCUCCGGUGCCUGAUGGGGUUCAUGGAGCCCGGGCUGUGGCUCCUUUUCGGGCUCACAGUGACCUCAGCCACAGGUAAGCAGGCGGGGCUGCGCGCCUCUCCUGGCGCGAGCGCACACAAUAGGAGCAGGGCGGGGGUGGGGGGUGGGGGAGUAGGGGGUUCUGUGUUGCAGAGAGCUAACUGCAUCCCUGGAGGUGAUUGGGAGCAAGCAGGCUGGAGGGCAGAAGCGGCAAGCAAGGACUACUCCACAGGCUCCGGAGAAUUAGUCAAUUUUUCAUGAAGUUGGGAACUUUUCAGAAAGUUUGCAAACUAAUCAGACACUGUACAAAACGUUUGCAAAGUUUUCAGAAAGUGUAAAAUGCGUGCAAGUUUUCAACCAGUGCAAAUAGCUUGCAGAUUUUGCAGAGUGAAAAUAGCUUGCAAGUUUUUCAUUAUGCACUAACUUGCAAACUUUUCAGGAACUGUGCACAUAGCUUUGCAAACUUUCAGAACUUUUCGUGUAGCUUGGAGACGAGAGAAAGUGCAACUAACAUCUGUACCUGUAGCUCAGGAGCCCCUCAAUCUGCCUCCUGCAGGAUUCACUCCUUGCCUUCAGCCUGGGGGCUCUGGCAGGACUGGUGUGCCCCAGCUGCCCCCUGCAACCAGAUCUGAGGGUGACUGUGAAGAGACUGUGGCUGACCCUGGUGAAGGGACAAAUCCUGGAAGUCCUGGGCAGAAGCAGGGGCCCGGUUGGUCUGGAGAACAGGCAGAGGGUGGCCCUGUGCACCACCGCCCCCGGCGCUGCACGUGCUUCACCUACAAGGACAAGGAGUGUGUCUACUAUUGCCACCUGGA